GAUGAACGCUGGCGGCGUGCCUAAUACAUGCAAGUCGAGCGAACAGACGAGGAGCUUGCUCCUCUGACGUUAGCGGCGGACGGGUGAGUAACACGUGGAUAACCUACCUAUAAGACUGGGAUAACUUCGGGAAACCGGGGCUAAUACCGGAUAAUAUAUUGAACCGCAUGGUUCCAUAGUGAAAGACGGUUUUGCUGUCACUUAUAGAUGGAUCCGCGCCGCAUUAGCUAGUUGGUAAGGUAACGGCUUACCAAGGCAACGAUGCGUAGCCGACCUGAGAGGGUGAUCGGCCACACUGGAACUGAGACACGGUCCAGACUCCUACGGGAGGCAGCAGUAGGGAAUCUUCCGCAAUGGGCGAAAGCCUGACGGAGCAACGCCGCGUGAGUGAUGAAGGUCUUCGGAUCGUAAAACUCUGUUAUUAGGGAAGAACAAAUGUGUAAGUAACUAUGCACGUCUUGACGGUACCUAAUCAGAAAGCCGCGGCUAACUACGUG
RNAcentral lists this ribosomal RNA (497 nucleotides) under uncultured bacterium. Its description in RNAcentral is "partial 16S ribosomal RNA". It matches the Rfam family "Bacterial small subunit ribosomal RNA", at positions 28 to 507 of the family's 1533-position model. The record is from RNAcentral.